This 539-nucleotide ribosomal RNA is filed under the name uncultured Glomeraceae. RNAcentral's name for it is "SSU rRNA". It matches the Rfam family "Eukaryotic small subunit ribosomal RNA", at positions 548 to 1090 of the family's 1831-position model. The record is from RNAcentral. Lineage: Eukaryota; Fungi; Glomeromycota; Glomeromycetes; Glomerales; Glomeraceae.
UUGGAGGGCAAGUCUGGUGCCAGCAGCCGCGGUAAUUCCAGCUCCAAUAGCGUAUAUUAAAGUUGUUGCAGUUAAAAAGCUCGUAGUUGAAUUUCGGGAUCAAUUUGCUGGUCGUGCCUUUGGUACGUACUGGUAUUAUUGGUUUCUCCUUUCUGAAGAACUACGAUGUCAUUAAUUUGGUGUCGUGGGGAAUCAGGACUGUUACUUUGAAAAAAUUAGAGUGUUUAAAGCAGGCUUACGCUUGAAUACAUUAGCAUGGAUAAUGAAAUAGGACGUUUGAUUCUAUUUUGUUGGUUUCUAGGAUUGACGUAAUGAUUAAUAGGGAUAGUUGGGGGCAUUAGUAUUCAAUUGUCAGAGGUGAAAUUCUUGGAUUUAUUGAAGACUAACUACUGCGAAAGCAUUUGCCAAGGAUGUUUUCAUUAAUCAAGAACGAAAGUUAGGGGAUCGAAGACGAUCAGAUACCGUCGUAGUCUUAACCAUAAACUAUGCCGACUAGGGAUCGGAUGAUGUUAAUUUUUAAUGACUCAUUCGGCGCUUAC